This 206-nucleotide ribosomal RNA is filed under the name uncultured bacterium. Its description in RNAcentral is "partial 16S ribosomal RNA". It matches the Rfam family "Bacterial small subunit ribosomal RNA", at positions 1287 to 1500 of the family's 1533-position model. The record is from RNAcentral.
CUCAGUUCGGAUUGGAGUCUGCAACCCGACUCCAUGAAGCUGGAUUCGCUAGUAAUCGCGCAUCAGCCACGGCGCGGUGAAUACGUUCCCGGGCCCUGUACACACCGCCCGUCAAGCCAUGGAAGCCGGGAGUGCCUGAAGUGCGUGACCGCAAGGAGCGUCCUAAGGCAAUACCGGUGACUGGGGCUAAGUCGUAACAAGGUACC